RNAcentral lists this long non-coding RNA (5188 nucleotides) under Canis lupus familiaris (dog). RNAcentral describes it as "lncRNA (ENSCAFG00000054436.1)". Lineage: Eukaryota; Metazoa; Chordata; Mammalia; Carnivora; Canidae. The record is from RNAcentral.
UCCUUUUUGAAAGAGGUCUUUUAUUGGAGCGCAGGGGGGCACACGAUAUCACACGCGUGUUAGGGCAUCGCCGUACACUAUGCUGCGCGCGCCACAGGUGUAGCGACCUUCGGCGACCAUGCAACCCUAUUGCAGUAUCACUGACUUGUCCCGGUGACUCACUCAUCUCAUGACUGCAAGUCCGUACCCCCACCCCCGUACCCCUUCUUACCCAUCCCUCACCCCUCUUCCGUGGGCAGCUGUCACUUUGUUCUCGUAUUUAUAGGUCUGAUUCUGCUUUGUUCGUUUUUUCAUUUGCUUUGCCUUUUACAUCUCAUGUGUGAGUGAGAUCGUGGGGUGCUUGUGUUCCUCUAACUUAUUUCCCUUAGAUAAUGCUCUCGAGGUCCAUCCCCAUGGUCGCAAGUCGCACAAUCGCAUCCUUUUUCAUUGCUGCGUGAGACUCCAUCCACAUCUUCCUUGGGGCCAUUCAGCGAUGCCCCCUUGACUCCAGGUGGCUCUUUGCCUCUGUCCUGAAGGAGUUGUCCCUGCUUACUGCCUCCCCCUCACCGCGUUACCCCCACCCCCAAGCCCCCCUUCUACUCCGCGGCAGCUGCUUCCACCGGGACCAUGAGUGUCACCCGCUCUGGUAGCUUCCAGAGCCUCAGGUCGACCUGCCCAGAUGCACAAACCCAGGCCAGCGCCGACUGGGCCCGGCUUGGUCCCCCACCCUCGCUUCUCUUACUGGGUUCCCCGCUCCAGCACGUGGCCGAGCCAGAAACUCAGGAGCCUGGAGCAGGUGCUUGCUGUGUCUGAGCUGCCUCCCCUGGGCACACCCAAUUCAGCACAGCAAUCGUCACCAGUCCCGGGCACACGGCCUGGGUCCCACCUCAAGCGCCUCAGCACCCACCAGGCUUUGCGGUGGCCACAGGAGGCCGUUAGCAGGAGGUGGCGGGAUAAUGCCCCUGGACCGAUGUGACGGCUAAUUCUAUGUGUCAGCUUGACUGGGCCACGGGGUGCCAGAUGUCUGGUCAAAGUGCUUCUGGAUGUGUCUGUAAGUGUGUUUUCAGAUGAGAUUAACACGCGCAUUGGUAGACUGAACAAAGAAGACUGACCCCCCUCGUUCCAGGGGCUUCAUCCAAGCAGCUGAAGGUCUGAAUAGAACAGGAAGACUGGCCCUCUUGUGAGUGAGAAGCAAUUCCUCCUGCCUGAUUAUUUGAGUUGGAGCAUCAGGUUUUUUCCUGCCUUCAGAAUUGAGCUGAGGCACCCGGGUGGCUCAGCGGUUGAGCGUCUGCCUUUGGCUCAGGUCGUGACCCGGGGUCCUGGGAUCGAGUCCUGCAUCAGCCUCCCUGCAGGGAGCCUGCAUCUCCCUCUGCUGUGUCUCUGCCUCUGUGUGUCUCUUGUGAAUAAAUAAAAUCUUUAAAAAGAAAAACAGAAUUGAGCUGAAACAUUGGGUUUUUCUGGGUCGUCCAGCUUGCUGGCCACAGAGUUUUGGAACUUCACAUUGUCAAUCUUCAUAAUCACGUGAGCCAAUUCAUUAUAAUAAAUAUCUAUCUCUCCAUCCUGCUGGUUCUGUUUCUCUGGAGAACCUAAUUCAGGUAACCAUCAACCAGUGGGAAAUGGGAGCCCGUGGAUAAAUGCCUCAGCUCCCUGGGCUUCCGAGAGACGGUGAGAGGAGCACCGCACAUGGUCACUUGCUCCAUGUACCUGUCGUGUACCUGUCGUGUACCUGAAUGGGGGCCUCUCCCUUCCCUGCCUUGCUGCCUCUGUGCUCACCUCCUGCUUCCCGGACUCACUCCUGCACCCAUAGCUGAGUCCCAGGCUUGCUGGUGGCAAGACCCGACCUGGAGACAUCCUAGGCGCCGCCCGCUUCCCCGACAGACACGGCCACUCAGGCCCUGGUCCGGUGGAUCCCACCCCUAGGUCUGUCUGUCACUGUCUAUACUGGUUUCCUGUGGCUGCUGUUAACAAAGUCGCAAGACUCGGUGGAUUGAAACAACAGAAAGGUGUUUCUCAUAGUCCUGGGGGACAGAGGUCAGGGAGCAGUGUGUCUGGGCUGAAAUCAAGGUGUCAGCGGGCCUACGCUCCUUCCAGAGGCUCUCGGGGUGCAUCUGGCCUGCGCCUUUCCCAGUUUUCUGUGGUUAUUGGCGUUCCCUGGCUCGUGGCCACAUCACUCCUCUCUUUGCUUCCGAGGUCACAUCGCCGCCACCUCUACUGUGUGGGUCCAAUUUCCCCCCUGCCUCCCUCUUAUAAGGAUCAAUGUGGUGGCAUUUAGGGUCCACCUGGGUAAUCCCAGAUAAUCACCCCAUCUUCAAAUAAUCACAGCUGUAAAGUUUGUGUGUGUGUGUGUGUGUGUGUGUGUGUGUUGGUAAAAGCUCACAUUCAUUCACAGAUCCAAGGAUCAGAACCUGACAUCUUUGGGGAGCUGUUAUUGAACGAGCACAAUCAUACCAUUACCCCUCCCAUGGCCUCCUUUCUGGCCCUAUCAAAUCCAUUCUCCGGGCUGUAACCAGAGAUGCCCUUCUGGAAGGCAAACCUGCUCUGGUCUCCCCAUGCUCACGGACCUGGGAUGGCUUUCUGCUGCCUGUGGACGUGGUGCCGAUGGCCUAGCCAAGGCCAAGGCCUCCUGCACAGUCCCUUGCUCCCCAGCUCCAGCCCCAGAUGCCUGGGGGGCCAGGGAGGCUCUGGGCCCCGUGAGUGCACAGAGGGCACGGCUCCAGUGUCCAGCUGACAGGCAGGAAUGCAGAUGCCAGAUUUUUAAGAGAACCCCAAAACCCAAUGUUGGUUUGGUUUGGUUUUGAGUGUAAAAUCUCUUGGUAUUUAACUGUUGGCAGCAGAUUAGAAAAAGAAACAAAUAUGACCCAGUACAGGCUACACAGAGCGGUCUGCAAGCUGCCCCUUUGCAACCUCUGCCCAACAGCUGGAUCAAGCGGCUCCUGCUGCCCCAGGCCUUUGCCUGCUCUCACCCCUUUGCUGGCAACGGUCCCCUGGCCAUCCCGCUCCAGCCUCAUAUGCUCCUGGUCUGACUCAUCUCUGCUCUCCUUUGUUCUUAGUUUCUGCCUCUGGUAGGAUGACUCCUGCCCCGGCUCACGUCCUCCUGCAGGGACGGUGCCUGCCUGCGGGUCUGUCUUCCCCCAGACCAUGAGCCCCUGAAAGCUGAGGACGAAACCCCUAGUAGCAGAGACUCUGGCCCGUCGGGAACGCUCAACAGAUAUUUGCACUCUGAAGACUAUGUCUUCACCCUUAAGAAAACAACCAAUGUUUUAUUUUCAGAACCCAGCCACGAAAUCACCAAAUUUGGAAGUAUAAAUAUGGGUUAAAGUUGUCCCAAAAUGAGCUCUUAAAUUUAGACGUACGGAUUGUUUGGUCUACUCCGGCACAGGACAGACGGGGGGGGAGGGGGGGGGCGCGCAAAAAAUAGAUGCCGUCUGCAUCUUCUGGGCAGAUUCAGGGUUCCCUGCUCUGAACGCGGUUGGCUGUGGGCACUGGGCCGCUCACCCCGCCUUCAGCACGUGGACGCCCGCACCCAUCCGCACGGAGGUUUGCACACCCCCUUACCCAAGUGCACCCGCUCUGCUACGAGCACCACUAGUCAUUCUCAGGAGUGCGAAGGGCAAUCGCUUUGCUGCCUCGCGUAUACCGACUUGGCCUUACUUGGCAUUGUAGCAUCCCGAGCCCCCGACCAGGAAGGAGGGAGGUGUCACCACUUUAGGAAAAUUAAUUAUUACUGGGAAGGGACACCACAAAGCGUAGGAUGGUCCCCCCCCCCAAAAAAAAAGAAAGCCUGUUAAGAGAGUUCAUUUUACAAUAACCAAUACCAAGUAAUGAAGCCAAAGUCCAGAGAUUAACUCGUGCAAUCAAUCUUUGUUCUAGAUGGGUUUAGGGGAGGGGUCCGCCAGCAUCUAUUUGGCCUAAACGAGCCGGAACAGUCGCUCCUGAGACAGAACAGAGCAACUUUGUGCUUUCCAAACUGUCUGCCAGCAGCACACAUCACCCUCAGAAUCUAGCAAAAAGGAUGAAAUUUUUUAAGUGUGUGUGGAAACUGUUAACUCAACUGGCAGAGGCUUCCCAAGAGCCCACGAUGCCGAUGGACUCGGGGUGGGGGGUGCUGAGGGUGCGGGCACAAUGGGAGGCGGGCGAGACUUUGCUCUCCAGGCAUUUGCCACACACUUUGGGGAACAUGAGCUCCACGAGUGGGGCUCAGGCCACGGCAGGGGCUGUGCUUGGUGGGCAGGCAACAGGGUGAGGCCGGGGCGGGGCGGUGGGGCGGGUUGAGAGGGUCUCGUGUCCCAGGAGAAAACCUUCUGGGCUUUCAGUUGUUAUUUUAUUAAAGACUUACUUAUUUGACAGAGAGAGAGAGAGAGAGAGCACGCAUGUGAGCAGGGGAGGGGCGGAGGGAGAGAGAGAAUCCUCAAGCCGACUCCGCACCGAGUGUGGAGCCCGACGCGGGGCUCGAUCUCACCACCCUGAGAUCAUGACCUGAGCUGAAACCAAAAGUCGGAUACUUACCCGACGGAGCCACCCAGGCGCCCCUUCCUUGCUAUUUGAAUACUGCUUUCAUUUCACUGUGGACGUGUGCCACAUCUCGGUGUUCUUGUCACUCAUGCCACUGAAGCAAAGGACUCGCUAAAGGAACAAAAUCUGGCACCAGUGUGUUCUUUCCAAGGAGGGAGACCCGGGUUUUGGCCGGAAUCCUGAUGGCUUGUGCGGCUGGGACCCCUCCUGAGAAGCCUUGACUAGGCGCCCUGGCUCCGUGAGGGGACCAUUUCGGUGCCCGGGGGACACAAGCGACGCUGAUUAAAUCUCGAUGGGUUACCGGUUCCCCCAAGCAUCUUCUCUAACCCUGGACACAAGCAAAGCCUAACGGCCCUUGGGAGCGCCCUGCAGACAGAGUGGGGUCAUGCCUGUUGAGGACCUGCUAGAGAGAACUAAGCAAAUCUGGGGAGCUCCUGGGCUCCCCUAAGUCGGUACUUAGAUAUCACUGUGAACCUCAGCCUCAGCCGAGAUCUGAAACGCUCGCUCCAUGGAUGGGACUCAUCUGGGGAGCAGAAGGUGUUUUCACCCAAGGAGAUGAGGUGGUGCCCAGGGGUCCCUAAGCUUGAGAGGCGUCCAGCCCUGGGGCCCUUCCUUCUGCCUCCUGCCUGGUGCAAGCCUGACCACCCACCACAGGGAAGAGGGACUUUGUUUAACGAAAAAAAAAAAAAAAAAAAAA